AAAAAUCCAUAAUAUCUUAUUUUCUAUAAAUACUAUAAUGGGGUCAUCUCACAUUUUUAAGCUUUUGGAACUGUACAAUUGAACUUUUUGUGUCAUGUAUGGGCUCUCCCUUCACUUUAACAUUCAAUGGAUAUUUCUGAGUUUACUGGAGACUCCCUCUACUUAAAAUCCAUUUGAAACUCCCUAUAAGUACAGCAGAACAAAGAAUAUGUUAGCUGACCUUUGACAUGAAAUCACCUUAGAAAUAAAUGCAACUAUAAAUCUUUUCGGCGUAUUUCUUUCUGCUUAAGAGCUCUGUGAAAUACCAUUAUUUCUCUCAUCGGGGUUUGAGAUCUUAGCAGCCUCAAAAACCAAUUAAUAUUUGCCAUCUCUGUUCUGCCACUUCAGUUUAAUUUAAAGGAUGAGAUAAGAGUUCACAUGGCUGAGAUUUCUACUAGUUCUUAGCAUAAAAGAAACAUACACACCAUACCCCAAAGUCACAAAAACUAUAUCAAGUUUUAUAUGUCAUCACACCAUCUGGCCAGGACUUAUUAAGAGAGUCAAAGAAACACUUGGGAAGCACUGUUCCUCUGGGUCAGCCCUGAACUGAGUAGGAAUUGGGGACAGAAGUCAACAAUACCCAAAGGGAGUUCAGAUCUGAUCAGAGACUUCAAGGUAUGCAAUUUUAGUUCAGAGUGGUAGGGGCUCUUAGCAGAGGUGUGCACCAAGUGUUUUGAGCUAUGUGUGAACAGCAUCACCUAGGAGGUGUUGUUUGAGCUGUUCCUAAAAGAUGAAGAACUCCAGGUAGCCACAAAGAAAAGACACUUAACUCAGGAAACAAGUUUCCAGAAAGAACCAGGAGAACAAAAGAAUAUGGUGCCCUAGGACUAGAAAGCAGUUCUGUGAGGCAGACGAACUAGGACAUAAGGUAGAGCGGUUGGGGGAAUGACACAUGGGAAGUAGCGUGGGCAUAGAGGGACCAAGUCAUCUUUAUUCUUGUACCUUUAGUAGAGGGCCUGGCAAAUAGCAGGUUCUCAGAAAAUAUUCAUGAAAUGUAGUAUAAUACAUUACAUACCAAAGGCUCCUAGCCUCACCUAGAACAUAGUACAUAAACAGUAGGUAUCUAGUAAGUAUUUAUUAAUAAUAAGAAAAUACUAACCCUGCAGCUUUAGCAAGUGGAAUUGUAUUCUUCUAGAUCAAACCUCUAGGAUAACAAACACUGCCCUGAAAAGGCAAUUUCUGACCCUGAUGUCACAGGUUUCAUGAGUAUGCUGUAGUGUUUACAUGUACCUCUUAACACUGAUGGUCAGGGCUCUGUCUGCCCUUGUGUAAUUGAUGUCUCUUUUGAUUAGUUAACCCCAUGUGUAAAACCAGCCAAGUUUUAUGCCUAUUUCUUUCCUGCUGUGGACCAUGGAUAUCUAUACCAUUUUCUUUCAAAGGGCAAAUGGAUCCUGAGUACUUUCUUUAAAUGGCUAUAACUUCUAAUUCAGUAAAGACAAUCAAUUGGUAGUUUUCCAAUUAUUAUGUGCAUUUUCUUAGAGACUGGCAUUAAGGACAGAUUUUGUCUUGUAGGGCCCAAGCAUCAUUUACACUUGUAAAGAAACAGUGUGGGUCCUAAAUCAAGGUCACUUAAUUUCUACAAUCUUUCUUGCUCCUAAUUUCUGUGAAUGAGCAUCUUCUCAGGACUCAAGUGAUGGUGACUCUUGUUUCUGCCUCCUAAGGAUAUGUCUCAGCUUUGUGGAAUUUUUUUUUUUUUGGCUGUACAAUGGAACUUGGAUGCAUUUUCAAUUAACUGUCUCUAGGAAUCAAAGAGUAACCUCAGAGCACCCCAGUUUGCAUAAAGAAGAUUGACAAAAUGUCUCCAGAGCCUGUUCUUGCUGAGCUGACCCAAACACUUGGAAGAACAUGAUAUGACUCAGCAACCCCUCUUGCUGUGAAAAGUGCAGCCACAACUGACCAUCUGCACUGGCCACAGGCAGCUGACUGCCCAAGGCAAGUUAUCUUUGUUGCAUCCUUCUACGUAUUCUAGGGAGGCUUUGCUACACAGCCCACCAAUCAAAAAAAAUUUUUUUAAUUACACUAAAAAAUGUAUUGA
Phyllostomus discolor (pale spear-nosed bat) is the source of this 2074-nucleotide long non-coding RNA. RefSeq lists it as uncharacterized. The transcript has 3 exons. The record is from RefSeq and is a predicted model, not a curated record. NCBI's taxonomy places the organism in Eukaryota, Metazoa, Chordata, Mammalia, Chiroptera, Phyllostomidae.